AUUGAACGCUGGCGGCAGGCCUAACACAUGCAAGUCGAGCGGAAACGACACUAACAAUCCUUCGGGUGCGUUAAUGGGCGUCGAGCGGCGGACGGGUGAGUAAUGCCUAGGAAAUUGCCUUGAUGUGGGGGAUAACCAUUGGAAACGAUGGCUAAUACCGCAUAAUGCCUACGGGCCAAAGAGGGGGAUCUUCGGACCUCUCGCGUCAAGAUAUGCCUAGGUGGGAUUAGCUAGUUGGUGAGGUAAUGGCUCACCAAGGCGACGAUCCCUAGCUGGUCUGAGAGGAUGAUCAGCCACACUGGAACUGAGACACGGUCCAG
RNAcentral lists this ribosomal RNA (320 nucleotides) under uncultured bacterium. Its description in RNAcentral is "bacterial SSU rRNA". It matches the Rfam family "Bacterial small subunit ribosomal RNA", at positions 30 to 334 of the family's 1533-position model. The record is from RNAcentral.